This 498-nucleotide ribosomal RNA is filed under the name uncultured bacterium. Its description in RNAcentral is "bacterial SSU rRNA". It matches the Rfam family "Bacterial small subunit ribosomal RNA", at positions 28 to 520 of the family's 1533-position model. The record is from RNAcentral.
GAUGAACGCUAGCGGCAGGCUUAACACAUGCAAGUCGAGGGGCAGCGGGGUGUAGCAAUACAUCGCCGGCGACCGGCGCACGGGUGCGUAACACGUAUGGAAUCUGCCCUUUACUGGGGGAUAGCCCGGAGAAAUCCGGAUUAAUACCCCGUAACAAGCGAGGUGGCAUCAUCUUGCUUUGAAAGCUCCGGCGGUAAAGGAUGACCAUGCGCCCGAUUAGCUAGUUGGUGAGGUAAUGGCUCACCAAGGCUACGAUCGGUAGGGGGCCUGAGAGGGUUAUCCCCCACACUGGUACUGAGACACGGACCAGACUCCUACGGGAGGCAGCAGUGAGGAAUAUUGCGCAAUGGAGGCAACUCUGACGCAGCCAUGCCGCGUGCAGGAAGAAGGCGCUACGCGUUGUAAACUGCUUUUAUCCGGGAAGAAACCCCAGGACGUGUCCUGGGUUGACGGUACCGGAGGAAUAAGCACCGGCUAACUUCGUGCCAGCAGCCGCGG